UGUCAUUCGGGCUCUUUGUCCAUGUUAACAUUUUCAGUGUUAUGCUUUGUGAGUUAAGCUACGAUGAC
This 68-nucleotide transfer RNA is filed under the name Crocodylus siamensis (Siamese crocodile). RNAcentral describes it as "tRNA-Phe". Lineage: Eukaryota; Metazoa; Chordata; Crocodylia; Crocodylidae. The record is from RNAcentral.